GAUGAACGCUGGCGGCGUGCUUAACACAUGCAAGUCGAACGGAAAGGCCCAAGCUUGCUUGGGUACUCGAGUGGCGAACGGGUGAGUAACACGUGGGUGAUCUGCCCUGCACUUCGGGAUAAGCCUGGGAAACUGGGUCUAAUACCGGAUAGGACGAUGGUUUGGAUGCCAUUGUGGAAAGUUUUUUCGGUGUGGGAUGAGCUCGCGGCCUAUCAGCUUGUUGGUGGGGUAAUGGCCUACCAAGGCGUCGACGGGUAGCCGGCCUGAGAGGGUGUACGGCCACAUUGGGACUGAGAUACGGCCCAGACUCCUACGGGAGGCAGCAGUGGGGAAUAUUGCACAAUGGGCGCAAGCCUGAUGCAGCGACGCCGCGUGGGGGAUGACGGCCUUCGGGUUGUAAACUCCGUUCGCUAGGGACGAAGCGUUUUGUGACGGUACCUGGAGAAGAAGCACCGGCUAACUACGUG
RNAcentral lists this ribosomal RNA (467 nucleotides) under uncultured bacterium. RNAcentral's name for it is "partial 16S ribosomal RNA". It matches the Rfam family "Bacterial small subunit ribosomal RNA", at positions 28 to 507 of the family's 1533-position model. The record is from RNAcentral.